RNAcentral lists this long non-coding RNA (1108 nucleotides) under Solanum tuberosum (potato). RNAcentral's name for it is "long non-coding RNA (STUB_LNC007575)". The record is from RNAcentral. Lineage: Eukaryota; Viridiplantae; Streptophyta; Magnoliopsida; Solanales; Solanaceae.
GUGGAGAUACUUUGUAGUGGUGGUGGUGAAGGUAAUAGUUGUUGUUAGUAGCUAGUAAUGAUAGUUGUGACAGUGGAAGUGGUUGGUGUUGUGGUGACUAUCAUAAUGGUGGUGAUUAGUAGUGGUGUUGGUGGUUGUAGUGAUGAAGUUGGUUGAUGUUACUAGUUGGUUGUGUUGAUGUUGGUGGCUCAAGAAUGUCUAGUAGUUGAUAGUUGGCAGCGGUACUAGUUAUGAUGAUGGAGGUGGUAGGUAAUAGAGAUUGACCACAAUGAUGGUAGUGGUUGAUAGUAGUGGUAGAAGUGGUGAUGGUGGUGGUGGUGGUGACAAAAAAAUGUAUGGUGGUAGUUGGCGGUGGUUUAGUUGUGAUGCUGAAAUUUAUUGGUAGUAGAAAUUGACUAUAGGGGUGAUAGUGGUUGAUAGUGGUGGGGGAGAUGGCGGUGGCUACAAAGACAAUGAUGGUGGUGGUGGCGACAGCUACAGUGGUGGUGGUGGCGACAGCUACAGAGAUGGUGGUGGCGACAGCUACAGAGAUGGUGGUGGCGACAGCUACAGAGAUGGUGGUGGCGACAGCUACAGAGAUGGUGGUGGCGACAGCUACAGAGAUGGUGGUGGCGACAGCUACAGAGAUGGUGGUGGCGACAGCUACAGAGAUGGUGGUGGCGACAGCUACAGAGAUGGUGGUGGCGACAGCUACAGAGAUGGUGGUGGCGACAGCUACAGAGAUGGUGGUGGCGACAGCUACAGAGAUGGUGGUGGCGACAGCUACAGAGAUGGUGGUGGCGACAGCUACAGAGAUGGUGGUGGCGACAGCUACAGAGAUGGUGGUGGCGACAGCUACAGAGAUGGUGGUGGCGACAGCUACAGAGAUGGUGGUGGCGACAGCUACAGAGAUGGUGGUGGCGACAGCUACAGAGAUGGUGGUGGCGACAGCUACAGAGAUGGUGGUGGCGACAGCUACAGAGAUGGUGGUGGCGACAGCUACAGAGAUGGUGGUGGCGACAGCUACAGAGAUGGUGGUGGCGACAGCUACAGAGAUAGUGGUGGCAACGUCAAUGGAUAUAAUCAUAAUGAUGGAGGAGAUAAGCAUGGUAGUGUUUGAUAGUAGUAG